GCUCUUGGAUCCCGAUACAGCCCUCGAAUGAGCCUGCAACAUUUUUCUUAUAUGAUCAGGUUCUAUUACUGCUUGCUGGGAGUCUGAGAUGAUUAUGGCAGUUGAAGUGGGCCAGGGACCCAGAGC
Small nucleolar RNA from Otolemur garnettii (small-eared galago), 126 nucleotides. The record is from Ensembl. Lineage: Eukaryota; Metazoa; Chordata; Mammalia; Primates; Galagidae.